CAGCCGCCGCGGUAACACCAGCACCUCGAGUGGUCAGGAGGUUUAUUGGGCCUAAAGCAUCCGUAGCCGGUUGCAUAAGUUUUCGGUUAAAUCUAUGCGCUUAACGUAUAGGCCGCCGAAAAUACUGUGCAGCUAGGGAGUGGGAGAGGUACACGGUACUCGAUAGGAAGGGGUAAAAUCCUUUGAUCUAUUGAUGACCACCUGUGGCGAAGGCGGUGUACCAGAACACGUUCGACGGUGAGGGAUGAAAGCUGGGGGAGCAAACCGGAUUAGAUACCCCUGUAGUCCCUGUCUCUUAUAC
Molecule: ribosomal RNA, 301 nt
Filed under: uncultured bacterium
Lineage: Bacteria
Description: partial 16S ribosomal RNA
Rfam family: Archaeal small subunit ribosomal RNA
Source: RNAcentral